UGUCAUCAAUUCAAUUGUCGAUGGCGGAGCCACGACUUGUAAUCAAGCCACGAUCAUGUGAGGCAGCUGUGUCGUCCAAUGCAUAAAUAUAUGUUGGAAACGAAGUGGUGUUGUCGCACAUAAAGAUCUCCUCAUUUCGGACUGAUCUUGCCUUGUGGCUCAUGCGCUAUAGAUCCCCUUUUGGAUAGUUGACUUCCCUCCUAACCGUUGCCUGGUCUUCCACAGCUGGCAAAUCUGUCAUGUGUGACUUACUUACGAUGUGCCAAUGUGGCACGAUGAGUGUCAUCUCUCGAACGGAUCGCUUUACGGUUUUAGCUGCCAGGACUAGUCAAGAGGUACACGUAUAAGGUGUCAGUGUUAGUAAAAGAUCUAAAGGUUCCCAGGAACAAUCGUACCGCGCCACUGGGUGUUCUGAGACGCGAUGGCUGGAUGGUAAAGGACACUACAGUUAAAAGGCAAAACUCCGAAGUAGCUAGCUCAAGACAAGAGCCCCGUUGUACUCCAAGAGACCUCACAGAAGUCGCCUCUGCUCCAUGUUAGGACGGGCCAGUGUCAUAUCUUUGACACGUUUGCAUAUGCAGCCACGCCUAUGACGCCAACGACACGCUAAGCAAUAGUCCCGCUAUUUGCCAGGCCUAUUUAUGGUAUACGUUUUUGAGUGUCACGCCGCUGUGUCACUUAACACACCUCAACCACGCGUUUUCAGCCGGCCUGCACGCCGCCACUGCGGGCGUUGCCUGCCACCGGCUGAUUCUCCCUAGUACUGAUAUUAGUAAUAGCGGCAACAGUAUCAAAGAUAGUCGCUG
Varroa destructor (honeybee mite) is the source of this 806-nucleotide long non-coding RNA. RefSeq lists it as uncharacterized. NCBI's taxonomy places the organism in Eukaryota, Metazoa, Arthropoda, Arachnida, Mesostigmata, Varroidae. The record is from RefSeq and is a predicted model, not a curated record.